AUGCUUGCUUCGGCAGCACAUAUACUAAAACUGGGACGAUACAGAGAAGAUUAGCAUAGCCCCUGCGCAAGGAUGACACGCAAAUUCAUGAAGCGUUCCAUAUUUUA
This 107-nucleotide small nuclear RNA is filed under the name Myotis brandtii (Brandt's bat). Lineage: Eukaryota; Metazoa; Chordata; Mammalia; Chiroptera; Vespertilionidae. The record is from RNAcentral.